AACGAACGCUGGCGGCAUGCCUAACACAUGCAAGUCGAACGAGACCUUCGGGUCUAGUGGCGCACGGGUGCGUAACGCGUGGGAACCUGCCCUUAGGUUCGGAAUAACUCCCCGAAAGGGGUGCUAAUACCGGAUAAUGUCUUCGGACCAAAGAUUUAUCGCCUUUGGAUGGGCCCGCGUUGGAUUAGCUAGUUGGUAGGGUAAAAGCCUACCAAGGCGACGAUCCAUAGCUGGUCUGAGAGGAUGAUCAGCCACACUGGGACUGCGACACGGCCCAGAAUCCUACGGGAGGCAGCAGUGGGGAAUAUUGGAGGAUGGGCGAAAGCCUGAUACAGCAAUGCGGCGUGAGUGAUGAAGGCCUUAGGGUUGUAAAGCUCUUUUAGCCGGGAUGAUAAUGACAGUAACGGGAGAAUAAGCUCCGGCUAACUACGUG
This 433-nucleotide ribosomal RNA is filed under the name uncultured bacterium. RNAcentral describes it as "partial 16S ribosomal RNA". It matches the Rfam family "Bacterial small subunit ribosomal RNA", at positions 29 to 507 of the family's 1533-position model. The record is from RNAcentral.